RNAcentral lists this ribosomal RNA (443 nucleotides) under uncultured bacterium. RNAcentral's name for it is "SSU rRNA". It matches the Rfam family "Bacterial small subunit ribosomal RNA", at positions 26 to 518 of the family's 1533-position model. The record is from RNAcentral.
AGAACGAACGCUGGCGGCACGCCUAACACAUGCAAGUCGAGCGCCCAGCAAUGGGAGCGGCGGACGGGUGAGGAACACGUGGGAACAUGCCUUUCGGUUCGGCACAACUGCGGGAAACUGCAGCUAAUUCCGGAUACGCCCUUACGGGGAAAGAUUUAUCGCCGAAAGAUUGGCCCGCGUCUGAUUAGCUAGUUGGUGAGGUAAUGGCUCACCAAGGCUUCGAUCAGUAGCUGGUUUGAGAGAACGACCAGCCACACUGGGACUGAGACACGGCCCAGACUCCUACGGGAGGCAGCAGUGGGGAAUCUUGGACAAUGGAGGAAACUCUGAUCCAGCGAUGCCGCGUGAGUGAUGAAGGCCUUCGGGUUGUAAAACUCUUUCGACGGGACGAUAAUGACGGUACCCGUAGAAGAAGCUCCGGCUAACUUCGUGCCAGCAGCCGC